AUGUUCACUUCAGCAGCACAUAUACUAAAAUUGGAACAAUACAGAGAUUAGCAUGUUCCUGUACAAGGGUGACAUUCAAAUUUGUUAAGUAUUCCAUAUUUAA
Molecule: small nuclear RNA, 103 nt
Organism: Mesocricetus auratus (golden hamster)
Lineage: Eukaryota; Metazoa; Chordata; Mammalia; Rodentia; Cricetidae
Source: Ensembl